RNAcentral lists this long non-coding RNA (1327 nucleotides) under Eucalyptus grandis. RNAcentral describes it as "long non-coding RNA (EGRA_LNC001721)". Lineage: Eukaryota; Viridiplantae; Streptophyta; Magnoliopsida; Myrtales; Myrtaceae. The record is from RNAcentral.
AGAAGUGCAUGCUAGAUGAUGAAGACUGAGUAAUAUACAAAAUGCGUUUAAGUUCAGCUUUUUGGAAGUUGCAGGCAACUUCUAUUAAAUAUCGGCCAAGGGAUGUUGACAUAGAUUACUGCUAAUCAGACCACCUAAGCAUUGGUUGAAAAUGUAUAUCAGUGCCAAUUAGCUGCCUGUUGGUGCGUCGGUCGAUUUAUCACAUGCUGUCGAUGGUUAAAGAAACUGUCAUAAGCAAGCCAAAUAUUGGAAAAUACUUUGUUAGUUGAACCAUACGGAAAUCAGUUUGUAUUCCACCAGGAGAUAAGACUUGCCUCUGACAAAUGGAUAAUGAAUCCCCAGUGCAGAGGAAAAUCCUAUGCAACAUGAGUUUUUGUUUCUGGAGCACUUCUCCCUCAUUUGCAGUUGCCUUUGAGGUUGAUCAAGAGGUGUGUGAUAGUUAUCCAUCACUUAGCUCUUCAAUCAAUUAAAAUGAUGAGACGAGACUUGGUAGUUCCAUCUCUAUGAUUUCUGAAUUAUCCUUCCAAUGCUUUUUUUUUUUUUUGGGUUUCAAAGUCAAAGAAUUGCAGCUUUAAAGCUAGGAAAGUCAUGGUUGCAGACACAUUCCAAUAUGCUCACUAAGCAUGCCUUGAACCUAUCAGAAAUGUUAUUGGUGGAGCAAAUUCAUCAAGACCUGCAAAAUUAGGUUGUGGUUGAAUUCAAUAUACACUUCUUCAAUCUGCGUGACACUACAUCAGUUGAUCAAAAUAUAGACUAUAGUGGUGAAAUACUCUUGAGGGUUUGAGUCUGGCUGACUUGCCUGAUUUGAUUUUUCCAGGCGGAGUCCCUUCUCUGACAUUGUCAAGGGGAGGCUCUCUGCUAAUGUCAUUGCCAUGAUCCAGAGAACUUUCAGAUGGAUGGAACUAAAGCUGAAGCUUGAUGUUGGGCUCUUCAGCAUCCCCUUCCACUUUAGCCUCCUACAUGAAAAAUAAGAUUUUCUCACUAGGAUGAGAAAAUGCAGAUGUCAUCAAACAAAUAUUUAUCUUAACAUUGGUUUUGCCUUUUUCACAAACAAGGGUACAGCAAACUCAUGGCUCCUAUUUGCAAGACAUCAUGAAUCUAUACAGUGGUGCAUCAUAAUUCAGGAGUCCAUGUAGUGUAAAAUUUCCCCUUUUCUUCCUUCAAAGUCGGUUUACUUUUCCAAAUUGAGUUCCUUCCUGUACAAAGCGUAUUAUGACCUUCCAUAUCCCUCAGAAUGUCCAGAAGUGAAAAUCUAUAAUCGUGAAUUUCUUCCAUUUAGGUGAUUGAACUUGAAUGUAUUGAUGAAAGAGGCAAAAGGAGAAGACAG